Hippopotamus amphibius kiboko is the source of this 643-nucleotide RNA transcript. It is a transcript of the gene named leptin receptor overlapping transcript-like 1, with no coding region annotated. NCBI's taxonomy places the organism in Eukaryota, Metazoa, Chordata, Mammalia, Artiodactyla, Hippopotamidae. The record is from RefSeq and is a predicted model, not a curated record. The transcript has a single exon.
CGCUGCCGCCGCCUCGGGUCCCGGAGGCAGGAGCGACGUCACCGCCAUGGCGGGCAUCAAAGCUUUGAUUAGUUUGUCCUUUGGAGGAGCAAUUGGGCUGAUGUUUUUGAUGCUUGGAUGUGCCCUUCCAAUAUACAACCAAUACUGGCCCCUCUUUGUUCUGUUUUUUUUACAUCCUUUCACCUAUUCCGUACUGCAUAGCAAGAAGAUUAGUGGGUGAUACGGACGCCAUGAGUAACGCCUGUAAGGAACUUGCCAUAUUUCUUACAACAGGCAUUGUGGUCUCAGCUUUUGGACUCCCUAUUGUAUUUGCUAGAGCACACCUGAUCGAGUGGAGAGCUUGUGCACUUGUCCUCACCGGAAACACAGUCAUCUUUGCAACCAUCCUGGGCUUUUUCUUGGUCUUUGGCAGCAAUGACGACUUCAGCUGGCAGCAGUGGUGAAAAGAAUUACUGAACUCUUGUCAGAUGGACUUCUUGUCAUUUCUCAGCCGUCCGCACACACGGGAGAUGGGGCAGUGAUACUGAGCGGUGGAGCAAGCCUCUUGGGGGUGUUCUAGGUGAUCCCUUCUCGCUUGUAUUGUAAGCAUACUAUUUUUACAGAGACUUACUGAAGGAUUAAAAGGAUUUUCUCUUUUGGAAAA